CCUACGGGAGGCAGCAGUGGGGAAUAUUGCACAAUGGGGGAAACCCUGAUGCAGCGACGCCGCGUGAGUGAAGAAGUAUUUCGGUAUGUAAAGCUCUAUCAGCAGGGAAGAGAAUGACGGUACCUGAGUCAGAAGCCCCGGCUAACUACGUGCCAGCAGCCGCGGGAAUACGUAGGGGGCAAGCGUUAUCCGGAUUUACUGGGUGUAAAGGGAGCGUAGACGGCGAAGAAAGUCUGCAGUGAAAGCCCGCGGCUCAACCGCGGAACUGCUUUGGAAACUUUUUUGCUGGAGUAGCGGAGAGGUAAGCGGAAUUCGUGGUGUAGCGGUGAAAUGCGUAGAUAUUAGGAGGAACACCAGUGGCGAAGGCAGCUUACUGGACGGUAACUGACGUUGAGGCUCGAAAGCGUGGGGAGCAAACAGGAUUAGAUACCCUGGUAGUC
RNAcentral lists this ribosomal RNA (440 nucleotides) under uncultured bacterium. Its description in RNAcentral is "partial 16S ribosomal RNA". It matches the Rfam family "Bacterial small subunit ribosomal RNA", at positions 338 to 795 of the family's 1533-position model. The record is from RNAcentral.